CAGUAGCCGCGGGAAAACGUAGGUGGCAAGCGUUGUCCGGAAUUAUUGGGCGUAAAGGGCUCGCAGGCGGUUUCUUAAGUCUGAUGUGAAAGCCCCCGGCUCAACCGGGGAGGGUCAUUGGAAACUGGGAAACUUGAGUGCAGAAGGGGAGAGUGGAAUUCCACGUGUAGCGGUGAAAUGCGUAGAGAUGUGGAGGAACACCAGUGGCGAAGGCGACUCUCUGGUCUGUAACUGACGCUGAGGAGCGAAAGCGUGGGGAGCGAACAGGAUUAGAUACCCCUGUAGUCCCUGUCUCUUAUAC
Molecule: ribosomal RNA, 301 nt
Filed under: uncultured bacterium
Lineage: Bacteria
Description: partial 16S ribosomal RNA
Rfam family: Bacterial small subunit ribosomal RNA
Source: RNAcentral